CAGGCUUAACACAUGCAAGUCGAGGGGCAGCAUGGUCUUAGCUUGCUAAGGCCGAUGGCGACCGGCGCACGGGUGAGUAACACGUAUCCAACCUGCCGUCUACUCUUGGACAGCCUUCUGAAAGGAAGAUUAAUACAAGAUGGCAUCAUGAGUCCGCAUGUUCACAUGAUUAAAGGUAUUCCGGUAGACGAUGGGGAUGCGUUCCAUUAGAUAGUAGGCGGGGUAACGGCCCACCUAGUCUUCGAUGGAUAGGGGUUCUGAGAGGAAGGUCCCCCACAUUGGAACUGAGACGCGGUCCAAACUCCUACGGGAGGCAGCAGUGAGGAAUAUUGGUCAAUGGGCGAGAGCCUGAACCAGCCAAGUAGCGUGAAGGAUGACUGCCCUAUGGGUUGUAAACUUCUUUUAUAAAGGAAUAAAGUCGGGUAUGGAUACCCGUUUGCAUGUACUUUAUGAAUAAGGAUCGGCUAACUCCGUGCCAGCAGCCGCGGUAAUACGGAGGAUCCGAGCGUUAUCCGGAUUUAUUGGGUUUAAAGGGAGCGUAGAUGGAUGUUUAAGUCAGUUGUGAAAGUUUGCGGCUCAACCGUAAAAUUGCAGUUGAUACUGGAUAUCUUGAGUGCAGUUGAGGCAGGCGGAAUUCGUGGUGUAGCGGUGAAAUGCUUAGAUAUCACGAAGAACUCCGAUUGCGAAGGCAGCCUGCUAAGCUGCAACUGACAUUGAGGCUCGAAAGUGUGGGUAUCAAACAGGAUUAGAUACCCUGGUAGUCCACACGGUAAACGAUGAAUACUCGCUGUUUGCGAUAUACGGCAAGCGGCCAAGCGAAAGCGUUAAGUAUUCCACCUGGGGAGUACGCCGGCAACGGUGAAACUCAAAGGAAUUGACGGGGGCCCGCACAAGCGGAGGAACAUGUGGUUUAAUUCGAUGAUACGCGAGGAACCUUACCCGGGCUUAAAUUGCAGAUGAAUUACGGUGAAAGCCGUAAGCCGCAAGGCAUCUGUGAAGGUGCUGCAUGGUUGUCGUCAGCUCGUGCCGUGAGGUGUCAGCUUAAGUGCCAUAACGAGCGCAACCCUUGUUGUCAGUUACUAACAGGUUCUGCUGAGGACUCUGACAAGACUGCCAUCGUAAGAUGUGAGGAAGGUGGGGAUGACGUCAAAUCAGCACGGCCCUUACGUCCGGGGCUACACACGUGUUACAAUGGGGGGUACAGAGGGCCGCUACCACGCGAGUGGAUGCCAAUCCCAAAAACCUCUCUCAGUUCGGACUGGAGUCUGCAACCCGACUCCACGAAGCUGGAUUCGCUAGUAAUCGCGCAUCAGCCACGGCGCGGUGAAUACGUUCCCGGGCCUUGUACACACCGCCCGUCAAGCCAUGGGAGCCGGGGGUACCUGAAGUGCGUAACCGCGAGGAGCGCCCUAGGGUAAAACUGGUGACUG
RNAcentral lists this ribosomal RNA (1430 nucleotides) under uncultured organism. RNAcentral's name for it is "16S ribosomal RNA". It matches the Rfam family "Bacterial small subunit ribosomal RNA". The record is from RNAcentral.